AUGAACGCUGGCGGCGUGCCUAAUACCUGCAAGUCGAGCGAACAGACGAGGAGCUUGCUCCUCUGACGUUAGCGGCGGACGGGUGAGUAACACGUGGAUAACCUACCUAUAAGACUGGGAUAACUUCGGGAAACCGGAGCUAAUACCGGAUAACAUGUUGAACCGCAUGGUUCAACAGUGAAAGACGGUUUUGCUGUCACUUAUAGAUGGAUCCGCGUCGCAUUAGCUAGUUGGUAUGGUAACGGCUUACCAAGGCAACGAUGCGUAGCCGACCUGAGAGGGUGAUCGGCCACACUGGAACUGAGACACGGUCCAGACUCCUACGGGAGGCAGCAGUAGGGAAUCUUCCGCAAUGGGCGAAAGCCUGACGGAGCAACGCCGCGUGAGUGAAGAAGGUCUUCGGAUCGUAAAACUCUGUUAUUAGGGAAGAACAAAUGUGUAAGUAACUAUGCACGUCUUGACGGUACCUAAUCAGAAAGCCACGGCUAACUACGUG
RNAcentral lists this ribosomal RNA (496 nucleotides) under uncultured bacterium. RNAcentral's name for it is "partial 16S ribosomal RNA". It matches the Rfam family "Bacterial small subunit ribosomal RNA", at positions 29 to 507 of the family's 1533-position model. The record is from RNAcentral.